RNAcentral lists this long non-coding RNA (794 nucleotides) under Ovis aries (sheep). RNAcentral's name for it is "lncRNA (ENSOARG00000026291.1)". Lineage: Eukaryota; Metazoa; Chordata; Mammalia; Artiodactyla; Bovidae. The record is from RNAcentral.
AAAAGUUUAAUAAAAACAACUGUCUAUGUUUGUGGUUCACAUUAUAUUUCUGCUGGACAGUGCUAUGCUGAGCCAUUGCGAAGGAGAGAGAGUAACUUGGUGGGGUGGAGUGGAAGGGUAGAUACCCUGAGAAACCCUCGGGGAGGUUUGAGGUAGUUGAAGAGACCCUUCCACCAUGUGCCUGGCCUGGGGUCAGAGGCACUCCCUGAGACUUUGGUGAUGAUGACAGUGAUGACAACGGUGACUUGCCCUUAAUUCUGUGCGUCAGAUUAAGCUCAACACCCAGUGUAUUAAAUGCAUCCCACGAUUGCCUCAGAGUUUCUGUGUGAAUCAGAAGAGAUGACUAGGGUCAAACCUGGAUACAGGAAAAAAAAAAAAACACACCUUACGCAUGCCUUUAUCAUUUUUCUUUUUGCAGUGUUUGACCAUUGAGCAUCUAGAGACUGGGAAACUGAACUUUCAUGAAACACCGUUGCUUGUGUGAUCUGUCUCUUCAGAGACAGAGGCCUCUGACCUUUCUGUUAACAUCACCUAUCACUGCGAGCUCGGCAUGUGUCAGACAGAUAAAUCCACUCAGUUUCCUAAGAAGUAGACGCCACGUGCUCCCAGAAGUGGUUUGGUUUAGAUGGAGAAAUCUUCAUGGAGAAGGUGCGGAAUCAAGAAGAGGAUCUGGGACUGGACAUGAGGACCACUGGAAAGCCACCAUAAAUUUUUCCAUUCAUGCAACACAGAUUUAUCCAAUACCUACAGUGAGCCAAGCCCUGAAUGGAAAAAGGCUCAGAAGACGCGAUUAA